RNAcentral lists this ribosomal RNA (773 nucleotides) under uncultured Neocallimastigales. RNAcentral describes it as "partial large subunit ribosomal RNA". It matches the Rfam family "Eukaryotic large subunit ribosomal RNA", at positions 24 to 635 of the family's 3401-position model. The record is from RNAcentral. Lineage: Eukaryota; Fungi; Neocallimastigomycota; Neocallimastigomycetes; Neocallimastigales.
UAUCUCUGUAGAGUCUGCAUAUCAAUAAGCGGAGGAAAAGAAACUAACAAGGAUUCCCUUAGUAACGGCGAGUGAAGCGGGAAGAGCUCAAAUUUGAAAUCUUCAAGGUUUUACCUUGACGAAUUGUAGUUUAAAGAAGUGUUUUCUGUUGAAGUUUUGGUAAAAGUUCUUUGGAAUAGGACAUCAUAGAGGGUGAGAAUCCCGUAUUUGACUAUUCUUUCUAGCUGUGUGAUACACUUUCAACGAGUCGGAUUGUUUGGGAAUGCAGUCCAAAAUGGGUGGUAGAUUUCAUCUAAAGCUAAAUACUGGCGAGAGACCGAUAGCGAACAAGUACCGUGAGGGAAAGAUGAAAAGAACUUUGAAAAGAGAGUUAAACAGUACGUGAAAUUGUCAAAGGGAAGCGUUUGACACCAGUGUUGUUUUCUCGAAAAUCAAUUAAAAAUGGUGGGAUUUUGUGUUGUAUUGACUUUAUCAGCUUUCUGCACUUUUUUCCUAUCUUUUUUAAUGCACUUUUCGUUUAACAAGUCAACAUCAAUUUCUUUUGCUGUAAAAGAGUCAUUGGAAGGUGGCUUUCUUUUCGGAGAAAGUGUUUAUAGCCUUGUGCCUCUGCAAUCGGAGAGAUUGAGGUCUGCAGCGUAGAUCCUUCGGGGUUAGAUACAUUUGUGCUAAGUUAUAGCUUUUCAUAGACAACUUGUUGACUAUGUUUAGUCUUGUAGCUUACUCGCUUAUGCUAUUUUACCUACGCUUAGGAUGUUGAUGUGAUACUGCGAGCA